GGAGGGUGCAAGCGUUAAUCGGAAUUACUGGGCGUAAAGCGAGUGUAGGUGGUCGAGUAAGUCGGAUGUGAAAGCCCUGGGCUUAACCUGGGAACUGCAUUCGAUACUGCUUGGCUAGAGUCUGAUAGAGGGAAGUGGAAUUCCAGGUGUAGCGGUGAAAUGCGUAGAUAUCUGGAGGAACAUCAGUGGCGAAGGCGGCUUCCUGGAUCAAGACUGACACUGAGGCUCGAAAGCGUGGGGAGCAAACAGGAUUAGAUACCCUGGUAGUCCACGCCCUAAACUAUGUCAACUAGACGUUGGGUUCUUUAAUGAACUUAGUGUCGAAGCUAACGCGUUAAGUUGACCGCCUGGGGAGUACGGCCGCAAGGUUG
This 371-nucleotide ribosomal RNA is filed under the name uncultured bacterium. RNAcentral's name for it is "bacterial SSU rRNA". It matches the Rfam family "Bacterial small subunit ribosomal RNA", at positions 527 to 896 of the family's 1533-position model. The record is from RNAcentral.